This 4466-nucleotide long non-coding RNA is filed under the name Canis lupus familiaris (dog). Its description in RNAcentral is "lncRNA (ENSCAFG00845018250.1)". Lineage: Eukaryota; Metazoa; Chordata; Mammalia; Carnivora; Canidae. The record is from RNAcentral.
ACUGGAAACUCAAAUGUCAAUCAACUAGUAAAUGGAAAAACAAACUAUUGUAUAUUCAUAUGAUGGACUACAACUCAGUAAUAAAAAGGAAUGAACUACUGAUACAUGCAAUGACAUGGAUGAAUCUCAAAGUAAUUAUGUAAGUGAAACAAGCCAGAAACAAUAAAAAGUACAUUUUUUAUUCCAUUUACAUAAAUUCCAGGAAAUACAAACUAAUCUAUAGUGACACAGACAAGUCAAAGUUUAACUGGAGAUAGGAGAGGACAUUCAAGGAAGAAGGAAAAACAGGAUUAUAAAAGAAACAAGGAGACUUGGGGUAGGAUAUGUUCAUGAUCUUGAUUGUGGUGCUGGUUUCAUGAAUCUAUUCAUGUCAAAACUUAUCAAAUUAUUCACCUUAAGUAUGUGCAGUUUAUUAUAUGUCAAUUAUGCCCGUAUACUGCUGUAAAAAAUAUUCUUUGGCUCCACUCCAGGCCUACUGAAUCUUAAACUAUGGGAAUGGGGCCCAGCAACCCAUUUUUAAACAAACACUCCAGGUGAUUCUGAUGCUCAAUAAAGUCUGAGACCACUGAUUAAGGUGACAAAUUCCUACCAGAUGGUUGAAAUAAAGCUCUAGACUGGAGUACAAAUUUGAGAGUCACCUGCUUAGAGGUCAUAGCUGAAAUUACAGCAUGAGGGGAUUUAGAGAGGAAAGAAUAAAAAGCAAGAGGUAGGACCAGAGAAAACCUACACUCAGGAGACAGAAGAAAAAGAGGAGCAGGUGACAGAAGCAAGGAAGAAGGGGUCUGAGGUUUUGGGAAGAAAAUGCCACAUGAAGAGAUUUUUAAGAUAUGAGGUGAUCAACAAUGCUGAUACCAAUGUGGUAUUUGCCCAAGUGCUGUCCAGUUUUCAAAUCCUUUUCAUGCAUGUUGGUACAUUAACUGUACCAGGGGAGGGCAGACAGAUGUUGAUGAUGUUAUACCUGCUGGGCAGCACUAUCUACAGGAGAGCCAGGAUUUGAACCUGGACAGACUUGGGUGGAAUCUAGCUCCUUCACCUACUCAUGUGUACAUCUGGCCAAAUCUUGAACUGUUUUCCUAUUUCCCCAAUGAGGAUAAUUCUACCCACUAAGAAGGUAGAAUAUUUGUGUUAUGUAAAAUGCUUGACCAGAUGACUAACAAAGUUGUGUUUCUUUACACUUUCCACCUUUAUCCCAGGAUUCUUCAUCUUACAGAUAAAUUGAGGUCCAGAGUAGGUACAUGAUACACCAUAGGUCACAGGACUGGUAAAUACUCCAUUCUGGAAGUACAUUCUUGACUUGGAAUUCAUGGACCACUGGUCAAGUCCAUAGAUGGUGGGCCUCAGGAGUCUGUGAAACUGCUGAAAUCAUAUGCAGACUAGAUUUGAGCGUGUGAUAUGUGUUUUUCCUGGAGCAAGUAUUUAUUAUUUACAUUGGCAUUUCUUCAUAGAGUCCAGAAUUGAAAUGGUUAAAUACUUCUGCUCAAAGGUCAGUUUUAUUUAGGAGUGCAUGGCUGGCUCAGUCAGUAGAGCAUGUGACUCUUGAUCUUGGGGUUGUGAGUUCAAAGCCCCAUGUUAGGGGUAGAGUUUACUUAAGUUAAAAAAAAAAAGUGAGUUGUAUUCAUUCUUCCCUAAGUGCCUUGAUUUACACCCCAUAAUCCUCAGCCCUCCCUCUUCCCAUCAUAUAUCUUCUUCCAGAACAUAGUUUCACUACUUCCUUGCUGACUGACUAGUCUGCAAACCAGGAAACUUGCUUCAUGGUCUCAUCUCAGACCAUUUAUUCACUUCAUAAGCAGCUGCCAAUUACCUAUAGGUCUAAUCGGCACCAUCCCUCCAUCUCUCGUUCCAGAAAGGACCCAAACAUGGAUGAGGAUCCUAUCACAAAGGAGCUUAUAGUCUGGUAGGAGAGGCAGGCAGGGACAGUGAUAAACUAUGAUACACAUAGACAGUCUGUGAUGGGAAACAUGAGAGAAGGGGCACAAGCAAAGGUCUGGAAAGAUUGUGUUUGUCCUGGCCCAGCACUGAUCCUCAGCAAUCUCUUUCUCCCCAUGUUUGUCUAUUCAGAGAUGUACAACCCUCAGCUUCAUCUUUAUUCUUCAGGCCAUCACAAUUUGUCUUCCACCUACCAGUUUGAGGAAAUGCUCUCCUCAAGUUCAACCACCAGGAACCCCCUGCCCUCUUUAACAGAUUCUGCUGUCUCUGUGACACUGAACUGUGUUGGCUGGGCCCUUUUGGGUCUCUUUUCCUCCCUGGCCUUUGUGACAGCAGCAUCUCUUCAUCCCCCCUCCCCCUCACACACAUACCCUGUUUCUCUGGGAUCUCUUCCGUCUCUCACAUUCCCUUUGUGGGUAGUGUCCAUCGCAGUUGCACCUGCAGCCCACAGCUCUUCCCUUUAUGCACUCACUCCAUGGCCUCACCCAGGCCUACGGCUCCACUGACCUUUAUACAAAUGGUUCCUACACGUUUUCCCACCCACCCUUUCUCAGAGCUCAACUCUGAACAAUUGACUAGCACCUCCAGCUGGAUUCCUCAAGAAUCUCCAUUGCAACGCAUCCACAUCCGUAAUGAAUCUAUAUCACCUCCCCUGACCCAAAUCCAUUUAUGUGUUCCCAGGAGUCACCCAAACCAGAAAUCUGAAAGUUACUGUAAAUGCCAUCUUUUUCUUCACCUCUGUCAUCCAAGCCAUCACUAAGCCCUGUGAGUUUGACCUCUUAAAAGCUUUUAAACUAGGCUCUUUCCCACCUUUGCUGCCUCUGUCUUAGUUAUACCCUCAUCAUAGGUUUCUUGACUACUUGCUAAUGCUAUUGUGCUACACCUUCCAUGCUCUCCUCCCCAGCCCAGGCCAGCCCGUAAUAGCUAAUAACAACAGCCCAUCUUUACCGAGGCAUGACACACACCAGUUUUACCCAUACUACCUCGCUUCACUCCUACAACAACCCUAACAGGCAGGCACUAUUAUUAUCCCCAUCUUACAGACUAGGGAAUUGAGACACAUAGAGGUUAAGUCACUUGUUAGUAACACAGCUAGUAAAUGGAGGUGCCAAGAUUAUUCUAAAAUGCAAACAAAUCUUAAUUUUAUCACAUUUUGCCCUAAAAUCUUUAAGGGCUCCCCAGCCCCUUAAUACAAAACCUCAAAUUCUUUAUCAUAGCAAUGCAGACCUUCAGAUCUGAGCUCUACCUACUUCUGCAUCAGUUUUGCCUCUGGGUUUUAGUAAUGCUGUUCUUUCUACCAGAAACUCUUUUCUCUACACAUCCCCCUUCUAGCUGCUGCUUUUUUCCCCCCUCAUAACCCCUACCUAUUCUAAAAAGCACAUGCAUUGUCCCAUACAGGAAGCCUUCCUUGAAUGCCCCACCCUCCCCAGUUGGGUAGGCACUUGUGAUGGAUACUGUCAUGUACCACCCAGAUCCCCUUCAAUGACUUACCCCAGUUGCUGGGAGUGCUACCAGAAAGUCCCAUUAGUUCCUGCUGGAGAGUGGCCUCAGCUGAAGACAGCUGCCUAGCCCAAGGUCACACCUGCUUCCUGGAGCUACCCACCCUAUGACUCAUCAGUGGGGUGGGGGGCAUAUAUGCUGAGCCCUCUGGCUCCAACUUGGGAAAAAAUUGAAGGGCCAUUCUAUAUCCAGGGUGCCCAAAAGGCUGGCCCUGCCCAAUCCUGAUUCCUUCCUCUCCUCCCACAGGUUUUGAUCCCAAAAAGCUUUGGGAUAGCACCUCACAAAUUAAUCUCCAUCUCAGAAUCUGCUUUCUGGGGAAGCCCUCAGUGUUUUGGACUCCUCAACUAGACUCCAAGCUCCCUGAGGAUUCAGUCACACAGGGCUGGGGCAGUACAGGCGAAAGACAGUGAUCCCCACAAACCUCAGCCCCAGUGGUGUAGCUCUUUAAAUGUGGGGCAGUAAGCGAUAAACCCUCUGUCUCCAUUGAUCCCCUGGUCAUGGCUUCUUAACUAGAUAAUUCAUUUCUAGGUAGCCCUGGACUUCCUGACCCCAGGUGGCUCAUUAAUUUGGUGACUCAUGCUGUUCUCCAGGACACACUUGACCACCACCCCUUAGAAGCCCCCAAGUCAUACUCUGAAGCCAGAGCAUUGAUUUCAGAAGGCAGAAAAUGGGGAUGUAGGGCAAUGAGGUUCCAGUCCUCUGUCACAUACUGUGACCAUUCCGAAAAUGGUACUUGUACUUAAACUACUCCUGGCCAACAUAAUGUGGACACCUCUCCCCAAAGCACCAGCACUCUCAGACCUCACAUUCUUGAUUACAAACCCCUGAUUCCGGGAUCCCUGGGUGGCGCAGUGGUUUAGCGCCUGCCUUUGGCCCAGGGCGCGAUCCUGGAGACCCGGGAUCGAAUCCCACGUCGGGCUCCCGGUGCAUGGAGCCUGCUUCUCCCUCUGCCUGUGUCUCUGCCUCUCUCUCUCUCUCUCUCUCUGUGACUAUCAUAAAUAAAUAAAAAUUUAAAAAAAAAUAAAAAAAAAAAAAAAAAA